This 686-nucleotide unclassified non-coding RNA is filed under the name Hevea brasiliensis (rubber tree). Lineage: Eukaryota; Viridiplantae; Streptophyta; Magnoliopsida; Malpighiales; Euphorbiaceae. The record is from RNAcentral.
ACUUUGGUUAGCUUUGUGGUUUGUGACUUUCAGGUGUACUGAAAUAAUGAAAUUGCUAUAGGAAGGAAAGAAAAACUGAUUAAUGUCAAAUUAAUUAGAAUCCAUAAUAUAUUAAAUUUGCAUGUCUGCAAUGAAAUAUAUAUUUGUCAAUACCAAGUUAUAGGUAUUGUAGCAUACAAAAGGAUGAAAUAUAUGUUAAUUAUCUCUUAAGAUCAAGGAGCUUCAGAGCUUCAUAAAUAUUGUUCGAUGAAGCUGUGAAAGUAGGUUUGAAGUUGGGAACUCGAGUAAAUUCGAUAACGAAAUUAGUCUUAGUAUAUAUUUGGGAGCUUCUAUCUAAUGGUCUCAUCAAUGUUAACCUCUGCAAAAGUUUUCCUUUCCACCAGAGAAUUGAAAACAAAAGUCCACUGCAAAAUAAAUGCCUUGGAAAGGACAAUCUUGAUUCUUGAACCAUAUCCAUAGCCUUAUAACAAAAGACUAAGGAACUAAAUAACUUUAGUUAUUAUUGAUUACUACUUCAAUAAAUUAUGUCAUUAACUUUUAGAGUUUAGAAGGAGGAGAAGAAGAGGAAGAGGAAGUAGACACCCGUUCCUCUUUUUGAAUGGGUGUGAUUACCUUUAUAUACAUCUCUCUCUUUUUUCUCGAUUAGGUUAAGCUGGUACUGGUCCUCCCUUCCGGUGAGGAGUUCG